Molecule: ribosomal RNA, 206 nt
Filed under: uncultured bacterium
Lineage: Bacteria
Description: partial 16S ribosomal RNA
Rfam family: Bacterial small subunit ribosomal RNA
Source: RNAcentral
GACGAACGCUGGCGGCGUGCUUAACACAUGCAAGUCGAGCGGUAAGGCCCUUUCGGGGUACGACGAGCGGCGAACGGGUAGGAGUAACACGUGGGUGACCUCGCCCUCCAGCUCUGGGAGUAAGCCCGGGAAACCGUAGGGUCGUAAUAACCGGAUAUGACUCCAUGACGCAUGUUGUGGGGUGGAAAGCCUUGUGCGGCUGAGGA